GAUGAUUCAGGCAGGAAGUGACAUGGCAAGGAGACUCAUAUCUAAGCAAGGAAACAGGAAGUAUGCCUUUUUCCCCCCCUGCUCCUUCUCCAGCAGCAAGAUGUGAUCCCAGCAAGGAGGGACGCCAAUAAGAGCCCUCAUCCAGUGACUGAUGGAAGCAGAGGCAGACAUCCACAGAUAUACACUGAACUCUGGAACUUAGUUGCAGAGCGGGAGGAAUGAAGAUCGAAGGGGUUGGUACCAGGCUGGUGAAACCCACAGUACCAGCUAGCCUGAACAAGGGGGAACACAUGGACUCCAGAUGCUGUCUGGGAGAGCAGCACAGGACUGAUCCAGACCCCUGAACAUGGAUGCCAAUGAGGAGGCAUCUGCACCCUAAGGGGCCCCUGGUAGUGGUUUAGGAUUUUUCCCUGGUGUAAGAAGGGACUUUGAGAGCCCAUCCCAUGUGAAUGGAUGCACUCUUGCCCUGGGCACAUAGGGAAGGGCCAAGGCCCAGCCUAGGAUGAUGUGGUGGACUUUGCUGAGCCCCCCAUUGAGGGCCCUACCCUGCAUGGGGAGUGGAGAGUGGAUGGGUUUGGGGGGUAGGUCGGGGGGUGGGGGAGGAGGGUGCGGGUGAGGGGAGGGAGAGGGAGAACGGAUUGACAUGUGAAACAAACUUGUUCCUAAUUUGAACUAAU
This 677-nucleotide long non-coding RNA is filed under the name Cricetulus griseus (Chinese hamster). RNAcentral describes it as "lncRNA (ENSCGRG00015033907.1)". Lineage: Eukaryota; Metazoa; Chordata; Mammalia; Rodentia; Cricetidae. The record is from RNAcentral.